GAUGAACGCUGGCGGCGUGCCUAAUACAUGCAAGUCGAGCGAACAGACGAGGAGCUUGCUCCUCUGACGUUAGCGGCGGACGGGUGAGUAACACGUGGAUAACCUACCUAUAAGACUGGGAUAACUUCGGGAAACCGGCGCUAAUAGCGGAUAAUCUAUUGAACCGCAUGGUUCAAUGGUGAAAGACGGUUUUGCUGGCACUUAUCGAUGGAUCCGCGCCGCAUUAGCUAGUUGGUAAGGUAACGGCUUACCAAGGCAACGAUGCGUAUCCGACCUGAGAGGGUGAUCGGCCACACUGGAACUGAGACACGGUCCAGACUCCUACGGGAGGCAGCAGUAGGGAAUCUUCCGCAAUGGGCGAAAGCUUGACGGAGCAACGCCGCGUGAGUGAUGAAGGUCUUCGGAUCGUAAAACUCUGUUAUGAGGGAAGAACAAAUGUGUAAGUAACUAUGCACGUCUUGACGGUACCUAAUCAGAAAGCCACGGCUAACUACGUG
Molecule: ribosomal RNA, 497 nt
Filed under: uncultured bacterium
Lineage: Bacteria
Description: partial 16S ribosomal RNA
Rfam family: Bacterial small subunit ribosomal RNA
Source: RNAcentral